UUAAACAUGAAUAUCUAACCAAUCUUUAGCACCAUUUUAGAUUCACUGAUUGCAGAUAGCACUAAAGAUGCUAAAGCAGAUCAACCUAUCAACUACACACUUGCUUUGAACCGUAUGAAGUAACCAAAGCUGAUUUUCAACAAUAAACCUGACAUAACCGCUUGUCUUGGGGCUGGGUAUACAUGGGAUCGGAUUCUUCAUAUAGGUCUGGAAGGUAACGUCUGGUUUAUAUUAUUUAUCACAUUUUCUCUCUCUAGAUUUCGACCCUAGAUUAGUUAUAGAGUAUAUAAAAAAAAAUAAUAAUAUAAAAAUAAUAGCAAAAAAUAAAUAAAUAAAUAAAUAAAUAAAAAAUAAGUAAGAUCUAUUGUUUAAUUAGGAUGAGUCUGAACAUGACUUGGUGGCUAAAACCAUUAAGGCUUGAUUCAUAAAGACUCAAAUAAAAGAGUUCGAAACGGAACUUAGAGGCGGCAAUCUUCAAGGCUCGCUUUCGCAAAGAACUCUUGGAUAUAGGUCAAAAAGAAGUGAACAGAACUUGGUGGCAACCACCAUUAAGUUUUGAUUCAUGGAAGCCUGUCCAAUCUUGGUCACUGAUCCUGCAAUGGACGCAGACUUCGACUCAAGAGAGAAAUUUAGAGAGAGAGAAACUAGGAACUAAUUUUUACCUGCAGUUCCAGAUACCU
This 680-nucleotide long non-coding RNA is filed under the name Brassica rapa (field mustard). Its description in RNAcentral is "long non-coding RNA (BRAP_LNC005769)". Lineage: Eukaryota; Viridiplantae; Streptophyta; Magnoliopsida; Brassicales; Brassicaceae. The record is from RNAcentral.